CUUAGAAACAAAUGAAUGCAGUGAAAAACAAUGAAAUUAGCACUUCAUUAUACUCAAUAAUAGAUCAUACAGAUCUACAAUGAUUCAUUAAAUGCUCUACAAUGAUUGCACUGAAAAUGGGCCAGAACCCAGGAGAAAUAGAUUAGACAAUUAUAUCUUGAGUAAAGUGUUACGAAGAUAUGGCACAUAAUUUCUUACUUACCACCUCAACAUGAG
RNAcentral lists this unclassified non-coding RNA (216 nucleotides) under Hevea brasiliensis (rubber tree). Lineage: Eukaryota; Viridiplantae; Streptophyta; Magnoliopsida; Malpighiales; Euphorbiaceae. The record is from RNAcentral.